RNAcentral lists this ribosomal RNA (370 nucleotides) under uncultured cyanobacterium. RNAcentral describes it as "bacterial SSU rRNA". It matches the Rfam family "Bacterial small subunit ribosomal RNA", at positions 376 to 761 of the family's 1533-position model. Lineage: Bacteria; Bacillati; Cyanobacteriota. The record is from RNAcentral.
CGAAAGCCUGACGGAGCAAUACCGCGUGCGGGACGAAGGCUUUUGGGUCGUAAACCGCUUUUGUUAGGGAAGAAGAACUGACGGUACCUAACGAAUCAGCAUCGGCUAACUCCGUGCCAGCAGCCGCGGUAAUACGGGGGAUGCAAGCGUUAUCCGGAAUUAUUGGGCGUAAAGCGUCCGCAGGUGGUUUAUCAAGUCUGCUGUCAAAGCGUGGGGCUUAACCCCAUAAAGGCAGUGGAAACUGAGAGACUAGAGUACGGUAGGGGUAGCGGGAAUUCCCAGUGUAGCGGUGAAAUGCGUAGAUAUUGGGAAGAACACCAGCGGCGAAGGCGCGCUACUGGGCCGAAACUGACACUCAUGGACGAAAGCU